This 253-nucleotide ribosomal RNA is filed under the name uncultured bacterium. RNAcentral describes it as "partial 16S ribosomal RNA". It matches the Rfam family "Bacterial small subunit ribosomal RNA", at positions 524 to 776 of the family's 1533-position model. The record is from RNAcentral.
UACGUAGGCAGCAAGCGUUGUUCGGAAUUACUGGGCGUAAAGGGCUCGUAGGUGGCCGACUACGUCAGACGUGAAAUCCCUCGGCUUAACCGGGGAACUGCGUCUGAUACUGGACGGCUUGAGUUCGGGAGAGGGAUGCGGAAUUCCAGGUGUAGCGGUGAAAUGCGUAGAUAUCUGGAGGAACACCGGUGGCGAAGGCGGCAUCCUGGACCGACACUGACGCUGAUGAGCGAAAGCCAGGGGAGCAAACGGG